Molecule: ribosomal RNA, 687 nt
Filed under: uncultured marine alpha proteobacterium
Lineage: Bacteria; Pseudomonadati; Pseudomonadota; Alphaproteobacteria
Description: bacterial SSU rRNA
Rfam family: Bacterial small subunit ribosomal RNA
Source: RNAcentral
UUUUCAGUGUCGCAGCGAAAGCAUUAAACACACCGCCUGGGGAGUACGACCGCAAGGUUAAAACUCAAAUGAAUUGACGGGGACCCGCACAAGUAGUGGAGCAUGUGGUUUAAUUCGAAGAUACGCGCAGAACCUUACCAACACUUGACAUGUUCGUCGCGACUCUAAGAGAUUAGAGUUUUCGGUUCGGCCGGACGAAACACAGGUGCUGCAUGGCUGUCGUCAGCUCGUGUCGUGAGAUGUUGGGUUAAGUCCCGCAACGAGCGCAACCCUCACUUUUAGUUGCCAUCAUUUAGUUGGGCACUCUGAAAGAACUGCCAGUGAUAAGCUGGAGGAAGGUGGGGAUGACGUCAAGUCCUCAUGGCCCUUACGUGUUGGGCUACACACGUGCUACAAUGGCAUUUACAAUAGGAAGCAAGAUGGCGACAUCAAGCAAAUCCUAAAAAGAUGCCUCAGUUCGGAUUGUACUCUGCAACUCGAGUACAUGAAGCUGGAAUUACUAGUAAUCGCGGAUCAGCGCGCCGCGGUGAAUACGUUCCCGGGUCUUGUACACACCGCCCGUCACACCAUGGGAGUUGGUUCUACCUUAAGGCAAGGUUUAAAACCCUUGACUACGGUAUAGUCAGCGACUGGGGUGAAGUCGUAACAAGGUAGCCGUAGGGGAACCUGCGGCUGGAUUACCUCCUU